RNAcentral lists this ribosomal RNA (468 nucleotides) under uncultured bacterium. RNAcentral describes it as "partial 16S ribosomal RNA". It matches the Rfam family "Bacterial small subunit ribosomal RNA", at positions 28 to 507 of the family's 1533-position model. The record is from RNAcentral.
GACGAACGCUGGCGGCGUGCUUAACACAUGCAAGUCGAACGGAAAGGCACUGCGUUUGUGGGGUGCUCGAGUGGCGAACGGGUGAGUAACACGUGAGUAACCUGCCCUUGACUUUGGGAUAACUUAAGGAAACUGGGGCUAAUACCGGAUAGGAGCUCCUGCUGCAUGGUGGGGGUUGGAAAGUUUCGGCGGUUGGGGAUGGACUCGCGGCUUAUCAGCUUGUUGGUGGGGUAGUGGCUUACCAAGGCUUUGACGGGUAGCCGGCCUGAGAGGGUGACCGGCCACAUUGGGACUGAGGUACGGCGCAGACUCCUACGGGAGGCAGCAGUGGGGAAUAUUGCACAAUGGGCGGAAGCCUGAUGCAGCAACGCCGCGUGCGGGAUGACGGCCUUCGGGUUGUAAACCGCUUUCGCCUGUGACGAAGCGUGAGUGACGGUAAUGGGUAAAGAAGCACCGGCUAACUACGUG